RNAcentral lists this ribosomal RNA (253 nucleotides) under uncultured bacterium. RNAcentral's name for it is "partial 16S ribosomal RNA". It matches the Rfam family "Bacterial small subunit ribosomal RNA", at positions 524 to 776 of the family's 1533-position model. The record is from RNAcentral.
UACGUAGGGUGCAAGCGUUGUCCGGAAUUACUGGGCGUAAAGAGCUCGUAGGCGGCUUGUCGCGUCGAAUGUGAAAUCUCAGAGCUCAACUCUGACAUUGCAUUCGAUACGGGCAGGCUAGAGUUCGGUAGGGGAGACUGGAAUUCCUGGUGUAGCGGUGAAAUGCGCAGAUAUCAGGAGGAACACCGAUGGCGAAGGCAGGUCUCUGGGCCGAUACUGACGCUGAGGAGCGAAAGCGUGGGGAGCGAACAGG